Molecule: non-coding RNA, 117 nt
Filed under: Pan paniscus (pygmy chimpanzee)
Lineage: Eukaryota; Metazoa; Chordata; Mammalia; Primates; Hominidae
Also listed under: 1 other name
Source: Rfam by way of RNAcentral
GCUGGGCGUGGUGGCUCAUGCCUGUAAUCCUAGCACUUUGGGAGGCUGAGAUGGGUGGAUCAUCUGAGGUCGGGAGUUCGAGACCAGCCUGACCAACAAGGUGAAACCCCGUCUCUA